Molecule: small RNA, 50 nt
Filed under: Arabidopsis thaliana (thale cress)
Lineage: Eukaryota; Viridiplantae; Streptophyta; Magnoliopsida; Brassicales; Brassicaceae
Description: ATSL283780
Source: RNAcentral
CCAUCAUGUAAACGAAGAAGACAAAGAACUCAGUAAACAGGAAGAAAAUA